GCAAAGUGCGGUACGAAUUAAGCUACCCUGGUUGCGUACAGAGAACUGCCAACAUUUUCUUUUUCGGUGCUUUUAUCUUCAGAAGGGCAGAAUUGGCCCUAACCAUGUGUAUUUUAUUUACAUCUCAUACAUAAAUGGACAAAAACUGUUAACCAGAACUAAGGCUUAUAACAUUUUCCCACCACAAAUUUGGCAAUAUAUACAGAGAUUGUAACUGCCCAUAGGUCUGUUUUGCUUUGCAAGCUAGCUUGAUGGACAAAGUUCUAUUUUUAAGCUAACACUUUAUUUUCACUUGUCAAUCCAGUUCUGGCCUUGGAAUAAUAAAGUUGAAGUGUUUUUGUAGUGUUCCAAAUAGAACUAUCAAGAAAAUAAUUGUGACUAUUAAAAAUCAUCUUGGGCCUUCAGUUCCAAGAUAGUAAUUUCAUUAAUUAAUGUUACCAACUUGUUUUUCAUCACAGAAACAUUUGGUUUGGUUGCUUGGCCAUCCAUUAAUUAUUGGGAAAUAGAAAUGGUUUGUGCUUGGGGCAAGUUAUCUUUCGGAAGGAGACCUUUCUAUGAGUGAUCUGGAAAAUGGAAGUGAAUGCCUGUGAUACUCCCGGAGUCUUGCAGAAGAAGCCCUGUCUCACUGAAGUCUGAGUAUGGCCCUCCACUCUGGGUAGAGGCAUAUGACUAAGGAUGCACUGCAGCGGACUCUGCCAGAAGCCUUCCCAAUAGACAUUCUUCCCCUCCCACCUUGCUGAGUGAAGCGGAGAACUGAGGAAAUUGCCUGACUUCCUGAAUCCUUCACAAGAACUAUGCAUAUAAUUGAGUCACAAAUGAUUUUUAG
Non-coding RNA from Delphinapterus leucas (beluga whale), 826 nucleotides. NCBI's taxonomy places the organism in Eukaryota, Metazoa, Chordata, Mammalia, Artiodactyla, Monodontidae. The record is from RefSeq and is a predicted model, not a curated record.